UACGGAGGGAGCUAGCGGUUAUUCGGAAUUACUGGGCGUAAAGCGUGCGUAGGCGGUUUGUUAAGUCCGCUGUGAAAGCCCUGGGCUCAACCUGGGAAUUGCCAGUGGAUACUGGCAAGCUAGAGUGCGGUAGAGGAUGGUGGAAUUCCCGGUGUAGCGGUGAAAUGCGUAGAGAUCGGGAGGAACACCCGUGGCGAAGGCGGCCAUCUGGACCAGCACUGACGCUGAGGCACGAAAGCGUGGGGAGCAAACAGGG
This 256-nucleotide ribosomal RNA is filed under the name uncultured bacterium. RNAcentral describes it as "partial 16S ribosomal RNA". It matches the Rfam family "Bacterial small subunit ribosomal RNA", at positions 524 to 777 of the family's 1533-position model. The record is from RNAcentral.